GACAGAGGGGGCAAGCGUUGCUCGGAAUCACUGGGCGUAAAGGGCGCGUAGGCGGUUCGUACAGUCAGACGUGAAAUGCCUGGGCUCAACCUGGGGGCUGCGUUUGAUACGUGCGGACUUGAGUGCGGAAGAGGGUCGUGGAAUUCCCAGUGUAGAGGUGAAAUUCGUAGAUAUUGGGAAGAACACCGGUGGCGAAGGCGGCGACCUGGUCCGAUACUGACGCUGAGGCGCGAAAGCGUGGGGAGCAAACAGG
This 253-nucleotide ribosomal RNA is filed under the name uncultured bacterium. Its description in RNAcentral is "partial 16S ribosomal RNA". It matches the Rfam family "Bacterial small subunit ribosomal RNA", at positions 524 to 776 of the family's 1533-position model. The record is from RNAcentral.